UGUCUCCCAAAACUGAACAGAUAUAGAUUAUGAUUUUUGAUGGGUCAACUCAUCUUUCUGAAGGUCAAUGACAAUGAAUGACUGCAUCAGACAAAGCCAGACAGACCACGUUGGAACAAUUCAACUUGUUCUCAUGGACUUCAAACGCCUCCAUUUUUAUAUCGUUCUCCACUUGUAUAUACCAGAAAUUUUCAGCGGUUUGUACUUUUGUGAGCUUCUCGGAUUGCAUAGCAUUCCUUUUCUUUACACACUGCAAAUCCUCCUCUUGUAUGAUUGUGCCAAGAGCUAGCAAGCAGUUAAAUUACUCUUGUAAUUACUGUGAAAUAAUAACAUCAUAGUUCUAUCGGCAUUCCUUUUUUCACGGUGCAUUGAGUUGGGAAGUAAAGGCGGCCAUCUUUUGUAGUAACAUUUGCUACUUGUUAAUUUGACAAGAUUCGCAGCUUUUCACCAGAUCUGAUAAAGCUACACCAAUCAGAUGCAUGGCUUCUGUUGUCUGAUUUCUGCCUAUCAGGGAACUCCAAAUUCCUAAGUGAACAAAACAUAAUUCAAAAAAAUUUAAAUUGUAAAGGCUGUGGCCCGCAACCUCAAAGAUUUUUGCUAGUUACGC
RNAcentral lists this long non-coding RNA (607 nucleotides) under Populus trichocarpa (black cottonwood). RNAcentral's name for it is "long non-coding RNA (PTRI_LNC004712)". Lineage: Eukaryota; Viridiplantae; Streptophyta; Magnoliopsida; Malpighiales; Salicaceae. The record is from RNAcentral.